GGGUAGGUACUGAAGUGGUCAAACAGGGCAGACUGUAAAUCUGCUGGCAUCGCCUUCGAAGGUUCGAAUCCUUCCCUACCCACCA
Molecule: transfer RNA, 85 nt
Filed under: Patescibacteria group bacterium
Lineage: Bacteria
Description: tRNA-Tyr
Rfam family: tRNA
About the family: Transfer RNA (tRNA) molecules are approximately 80 nucleotides in length.
Source: RNAcentral